CUUAAAAUAACCAAAAAUUAAAAUAGCCUACUAAAAUAACAACUUCCCAAACACCCACAAUGUCACCUUGAAUGUUAAUGAGUUCACCAGGCCAAUACCAAAAGAUCUUAGAAAACUUUUACAUCUUCACGAUGUGCAAUUUAGCUAUAAUAAAGUACAAGAUGACCGGACUACUUUUAUCUCAUCUUUAACAAACUGCACCAGCUUAGAAUAUAUUGUUGCUGAUGACAAUCUUCUCAAAGGUUCAUUGCCUGACUUCAUAGCCAAUCUCUCCACCCAUAUUAGCUACAUCUCUAUAGGGGGAAAUCAAUUCCAUGGAAGAAUUCCUUCAGGAAUUGGGAACCUCCCUAACCUUACUGUCUUUGAUAUAGUAAUGAGUUAUCUUACUGACCCUAUUCCCAUUGAUAUUGGAAAGCUGUCUAAAUUGCAAGGGUUGUAUUUACAAGGGAACAAUUUCACAGGACUACCUUCUUCACUUUGUAGUUUAACAUCAUUGAAUAUUCUCUCAUUGGGACAAAACACUAUCCAUGGAAGCCUACCUCCAAAUCUUGGCAAUUGUCGUAACUUGUUAGAAUUAAAUUUUUCACAUAAUAACCUCUGCAGUUCAAUACCACCUGAAAUUAUGAAUCUCUCUUCCAUUCAAAAUCUUUUAUGAUGUGUUUGGUUGGGGGAUUUAGGAAGGGAUUUGGAAAUGAAAAGGAAAAAGGUGUGUUAAAUUAGGUGAAAUGUAGAUAUAUUUUAUUCACAUUUCACCUAUCUUUUUCUUUUCCCUUUCCAAAUCACUUCCCAAAUCAUCCAACCAAACACAACAUUUGUUUAGCUCACAAUUCAUUGAUGGAUUCUCUUCUGUCAGAAGUUGGGUCUUUGAAAAAUCUCAAGAAGUUGGAUGUAUCCAAUAAUAGGUUGUCAGGAAGAAUACCAAACUCUCUGAGCAAUUGUUUGAGCUUGGAAUAUCUUUACUUGGGCAGGUAUUCAUUUGAAGUCCAAAUAACUCAAAUUUUGAGAGAGCUAAGGGCUUUACGAGAGUCGGACCUCUCCUGCAACAAUUUAUCGAAGUUGAUCCCAAGUUAUCAAGAAUUGAACCUUCCCCCUUGCCCGCCCUCAUAGUCAAAUGAGAAUAAGUUAUCUUACAAGAUGAAAGUGAUAUUGUGGUGAUUGCUCUUGUGAUAUGUGCAACUUUGUUAGUUGUCUUCUUUAUAUUUCUCCAACGAGGACGUGUCCUGAAAAAGAAGACACCUUCCAUGCCAUCAUUCAAAAACAACAUUUUGAGGGUUUCUUAUGCAGAGCUUCUCAAAGCUACCAAUGGAUACUCAUAGGCUAAUCUAAUUAGUAUUGGAAGCUAUGCUUCUGUUUAUAAAGGUAUUCUUAAUCAUGGUCAGAUGACAAUUGCGGUGAAAGUGCUCAAUCUUCAACUUAGAGGAGCUUUUAAGAGUUUCAUGUCAGAAUGCAAAGCACUAAGACCUAUAAGACAUUGAAAUCUCUUUCCAUGGUAAUAGGAAGCUUACAUAAAUGGCCGCACCCAUAUGGAGUUGCAGAACAAAAACAUCAAGAACUCAAAAAACUUAAAUUGAUAGAGACUGGACAUUUCCAUUGAUAUUGCUUGUGCACUUAUCUUUAUUGUGGUUGUGGGUCAACAAUUAUUCAUGGUGAUCUUAAGCCAAGUAACAUUCGUCUUGGUGAUGAGAUAACAACCUAUGUUGGAGAUUUUGGGUAAGCAAAAAUUAUUUCUGCAUCUUCAAAUGAUGUAUCACAAAGUCAAAGUGAUUCAAUUGCAAUAUGGGGAACCAUAGGCUAUGCUGCUCCAA
Molecule: non-coding RNA, 1805 nt
Organism: Camellia sinensis
Lineage: Eukaryota; Viridiplantae; Streptophyta; Magnoliopsida; Ericales; Theaceae
Source: RefSeq, a predicted model, not a curated record